Long non-coding RNA from Jaculus jaculus (lesser Egyptian jerboa), 1082 nucleotides. RefSeq lists it as uncharacterized. The transcript has 4 exons. Lineage: Eukaryota; Metazoa; Chordata; Mammalia; Rodentia; Dipodidae. The record is from RefSeq and is a predicted model, not a curated record.
UGACCCCUGAAUCUGGUCUCACAAAGUCUUGAUUUCUUGGGACUCUAUUCUGACUGCGGGUUGGAGACUCUAGGGGGCAGCCACUGAGAGAUGUUCCUCGCCCCAGUGACAUUCUCCGGACCCGGGCAGAAAGGAGUGGCAGUCAGAGGACAUCAACACCACUGUCAGUGGAGAGUCAUUUGGUCUGAAAACCUCCAGAGGAUCCACAUGUGCAUCUGGUCAGCGCAGCUGGACUGGAGUUCCUGCAGGGCAUCUUUUCAAUCCCAGGAGCCCCAUCCAGUGCUUGGAACUUGGCAGAUGUCCCAUCAUUAUCAGGACAAUUAAUUAAUGAACACAUACAUGAGAGAUCUUGGAGAUCACUGACCCAAAUAUCCCAAACAAGUCUGCUUUUUCUGGACCUCUGGCUUUGUUUCUUUCUUGGAUUGGCUUGUGUGCAGACGUGUGGACAGUAGAGCACACAGCCACAAACAGGCACAUGGACUUCAGCCAGAUGCACCCGCCUUUGUGAGUCCCUGGAUCUUCGGGGCCGUGGUUUCCUGACGUCAUCCAGACAACUGUGGAGAGCAGGGUCUUGAGCAGCCGUGAAUACCAGGACGAAAGAACCACUUUUGGAUGGCAGUUUCUGUGAACAGCUCCUUUAUUUGUCGGGGAAAUGGGUUUAUAAGCAGUUGAGAGCGGGGAGAGGGUCCUAAGGGGAUUGGUGGGUUCAAAGGCUGCUAGCGGAUGCCUAGGGACGUUCAUUCCAGCACUAGGGAGAGAGUCAGGUGAUCUACAUAGUGGCGGGAAGAGGGUCCCAGGGGGAUGGGCUGGGUGAAGGCUGCUGGCUGAUAAGGAAUUUCCGAGGCAACUGGCCAAAGGUCACAAGGCAAUGGGCAAAGCCUAAGUUGAGGUGUGCUGGGCUUGGAGAGGGAGUGGCCUCCUGUAGCCUGGGGGUCCUUAGCCAUGAACCUGGCAGAUCAGGCCCAUCUCCUGAAGGUUUCACCCUGUGCCUGGCAGUGCCCGACACUCCUAAACCGGGACUGUUCGCAGUUUGGAAAACUGUUCCCCUGAGACCAAGAAACUGGUGAAAGUAAAGGUGUACU